GGUAUCUUCCGUGGAGAAAAAAUACAGCGACCGAGCUGCCAUAUAUAUAUAUAUACACAGUAUAUAUAUUCGCUUAGAUCGAAAAGAAGUGAUUCGUCUGUACUUGUGAUAAUCGAGCUUAUUGUAAAAGGGAAGAAACGGAAGAAAAUUCACACAAUACGAUUUUGUUACAAAUAAAGAAUAUUUCCAGCGUAAAAUAUCGAAUUUAUAUAACAGAUAAAAAGUCAAGCAUCUAAGUCCUACAACCUUCCGCUGACCCCAUCUUGGUUACUAGCCGGCCGGUGAGGGAUUCUAAAAAUGGCCGCCGUCAGCGAUAUAGCGAGUACGAGUCGGCGACGUAAUAAAAUUAGCGUAAUCACGCAACAUUCACUUAUGACGACGUGAUUCGGUAAGUCGUCUAUCAAAUAAAAAGGAAGAAAAAGUAAAAAUUUAGACAGUAUUUUUCGUUAUCAAAUACAAUUCUAGCGGUACUCGGCUUAGUCCCAGAAAUUUAUUUCCAACCGACUAUCGUCUUACGGCGCACGCGUGUGACGCCAUUUAUGACUCUUCCUACCAACUGGCGGCCGAUCGCAUUUUUGCGACGUUUCCCGUCAUGGCGUCGUAUGGAUUUUAUCCACGAUGACAAUUCCUGACGUCAUAAAUGAUUAUCUUCGGAUGAAGUCGGACGAGUGGCGAGUCAUAGAUUUCUGUUUCAAACAGAAGCUGAAUACUGAAAAUUUAAAUGCCAUAUUUUGGUUACUAUCCCAAAAUGUCCCAGAAGGAGCGAUUUUGACGCGCUAACCGAUAGAGUGAUGAACAGUGGCCAGAAGUAGUUUGGUAGAUAGAGCAAAUGGCGUGGAAAGGCGGGCGGAACAGACCAAGAAACAUAGUGUUUUAUAUUUUAAGAGAAUCAAAUUUGCGGAAUUUAGUGUGUGACGUUUAUAACUGGAUAAAAUCGAUGGCAGUCGACGGAGCGCAGAAGGAACAAAAGACCGAGUAAUGGUCGAUCAGUCGAUCGAUCCUAGCGGUUAACAGUUUAGAGGAAAAGUUAAUCUAUAGACGAUGAAAUUAUUUUGAUAAUAUUCAGCCAGCUGAUAUAUAAUCGUCGACUAAUGGCCAAUAAUACCCAGUUUUUAAUUUGCAAUUAUUUUUAUGGUGGGGUGGCACUCGUAACCACCAUUCUUAUCGGGUAGAUAACGAAUCGUUUAGGAAUUCGAUAUGGUCCGUCGUUUCGUUAAUUAAUUGACAUUUCGGAUUUUGAAAAUCCUGAAUAGAAAAUUAAGUCGAGGAAAGUAAAAGUUUCUCAUAAUUUGUCUCUAAACCUCGUAACAUAAAAAUAUAAGUAUAUUCUUUCUAUAAAAGAGUUAGUAGAUCAUUUUAAAUAAUAAGAAGUGAUGGGCAGACCACCACCCUUUUCGACACACGUGACCGAGAUUCCAUUUGGCCACCAAUCGUCUCCAUCCAUAUUUAUUCCGUGGCCGAUCUGGCCUCUGGAGAUUUGGUCUUCUCAGUUACGGCUCCGAAUAUAUCCAUAACCCUAAAUUGAACCGAUUUAUUUAAUAUUGAGCAGUUUUUCCAAUCAUCCGAUACCGACACAGUCCAUUGACAGUCUGUGUGGCCGGAAGGGCGCAUCCGGCGGCCCGCCUGGUGAGAGAGGUGACUCGGAAUUUUUCGAUUCAUGCCGCUCUCGCAUCUCAGUUGCCAAAGUCGCGUCUUUGGUGGCAGCCGGCCGAUACGGAAGACACUACCCGACCAUGGAAUUUCGAAUCGAACAAAUGGAAAAAGUGUGACCAGUGAAAAAACGAUAGCCGUUAUCCCGGCCAUAAAUGAAAUAAUUGCGCAGAUGAUUCGGACUAAUACCAAAAUGACUCUCAAUCUUAAAAUGUCGACGAGAUUUUUUAAAUUUCAUUCGACCCACCAAUGGAAACGGAAUAAUACUAGCAGGAAAUGGUAGAAACAGGUUCAUUUUAAGUACCGACCAAUACGUCCUUUCACCGUCUACCAUCUUCGCACCGAGGUCGAAGAAAUCAGUCGACUUUAGAAAACUGGUCGAAGUUUAGAUGUUUUUUGAUCAACAGAGGACGGCACGUUCCAUUCGAUAAGAGUAGUAAGUGGCGGGACCAAAUAAGCCCUACUGUUGGCUGCCCGUGCCGACCGAGGCGUGAGUCGAAUGAUGGAGAACGGGGAUCGACGAGGCCAUCGUAAAUAUUUCCCAGAGAGAUACUCGAAUCCGAGUUCUCCGGAGAGAAAAGCCGAAACGUUUCCACGCAGUCAAUCCGUUCGACCAUUUUUAAUUUCGUCUACUCUUUUCUACGGUUCAUUCGCUCUAUAUCUGGUAAAGAUCGCCGAUGGCAAUGAAAUCGUAUAAUUUAAAGUACUUUGCGAGAAAUAACAGUUCUAUCGGUUGGGAUGGAAGAAGUUUGUUAGUCGGAACUAUAGAAAGAUGGCGCGCUCAGCAAAUUUCACUGGCCACUGUCCGCAUGGCCCGCCGAGCCCUCUAUGUCUAGUACGUAACUUUUCGCUGUAGAUGUACGGAUGGCGGUAUCGAUGAUAAAUCGGUGGUCGGAUGGUAGCGUACGUGUCGGCGAUGGCAUCACCACGUACGUCAGGCUAGACGUAGUAGUGGUAUUUGAUCCGAACGCUAUACCCUACCUCGUUCUCGGCAUUUCGAUACUCAUCCCACAAUUGGCAAUUCACGUUAUUCGGUUUUCGAAUGUAUUAACAAAGGGCGGUUAAAAAGGACACGAAAAUAAACGCCUGUCACCUCUCGGGAGAUAUUAAGAUUUAUUCUUAGGUUAAUCUACAACGUCUUCGCUUACUCGACUGUAACCUACGUGUUGUCACUUUAUUGUCUAAAAUAGAAUCGACCAUAGAUAACAGUAUAAUCGAUAUUAGAAACGCUGGGUUCUGUUGUAUUUUGACGGUCCACUUUCAACGGGCAUUUCGAGUGUCGAUAGAUAAGAGUCCGCUCCGCUGGUCGAAAGCGGAAAAACUUUGACCUUGACGAACUUCCGUAGCGUCACGGUUUGUUGACAGGCGGUUGAAAGAUAUUAAAUACAAUUUUUUAUUUGAAAAGUCAUUACGCAAAUAUUAUUAUUAUUAUUAUUAUUAUUAUUAUAUUGCCAACGAAUACUUACCAGGAGAAAAGCCCGU
RNAcentral lists this long non-coding RNA (3132 nucleotides) under Androctonus crassicauda. Lineage: Eukaryota; Metazoa; Arthropoda; Arachnida; Scorpiones; Buthidae. The record is from RNAcentral.